GUACUGGCUUCAGCAGCACAUACACAAAAAUGGAACUAUACAGAGAAGAUUAGCAUGGCCCCUGUGCAAGAAUGACAUGCAAAUUCGUGAAGUGUUCCAUAUUUUU
This 106-nucleotide small nuclear RNA is filed under the name Spermophilus dauricus (Daurian ground squirrel). The record is from RNAcentral. Lineage: Eukaryota; Metazoa; Chordata; Mammalia; Rodentia; Sciuridae.